GAUGAACGCUAGCGGCAGGCCUAACACAUGCAAGUCGAGGGGCAGCACGAGGUAGCAAUACUUUGGUGGCGACCGGCGCACGGGUGAGUAACGCGUAUGCAACCUACCCUUAACAGGGGGAUAGCCCGGAGAAAUUCGGAUUAAUACCCCAUAAGAUCACACAUUCGCAUGAUAGAGUGAUUAAAAUUACGGUGGUUAAGGAUGGGCAUGCGUGACAUUAGCUAGUUGGUGAGGUAACGGCUCACCAAGGCUGCGAUGUCUAGGGGGGCCUGAGAGGGUGAUCCCCCACACUGGUACUGAGACACGGACCAGACUCCUACGGGUGGCAG
This 329-nucleotide ribosomal RNA is filed under the name uncultured Bacteroidota bacterium. Its description in RNAcentral is "bacterial SSU rRNA". It matches the Rfam family "Bacterial small subunit ribosomal RNA", at positions 28 to 351 of the family's 1533-position model. Lineage: Bacteria; Pseudomonadati; Bacteroidota. The record is from RNAcentral.